UUUACCUUCUCAUAAGGCUCAACAUACCCCAGUUCUCAGAGGAGCUAAUCUCACUAAGUAAUCUUAAAGAUGCACGAGCACGGAGGGGGAAAGUCCUGGCUUCGGCACUUAAAGAUGCACAACACAAAACUCCAAAUACUGUAUGCAUGCAUUUAUUAAUCCGUUCUGGCAAGUAAUCUCGCAAUGUUUAUGCGCCGGGCUAAUCUUUCAUUUCCUCUGCUGGGGGACCGAGGACGAGACGCCCACUCGCAGGUACUUUGAGACAACUUUUUGCUGAAGUGCUGAGGAGGCAGGCAGGUAAGCAGGCACGUCAGCAGCGGGGCAGAGGUGCUGUUAGUCUGAUGAGCAGUAAAGCUGUCAACACCAGAAUAGCUGGGAGGAGAUGCAUUUGCUCUCAUGUUUACCAAGCUAAAACUCCAGUCCGCCUAAUAUCCACCAUGUUGUGCCAAAUGCUACAGAACCUUUACAAGCCACAUUCUCAAACUUUAAAGGGUGAAAUAUGAUGCGGGGUGAAGCUCAACUCUCACAAGUCGAGGCAGCCGUCGUACAUCUCCUGCUGCGUUUGGAGAGCAUCCUCGGCUGUCGAGGACUGGAUUUGUUGUUGCGAUAAAACAUGAUGAAGGUGUUUCUCUCAAACCAAAAAGUGUGAUUGGAGUCUUUCCCACUGACGUAAGCGUUCUCAAAGAAAGCAGUGAUGUAAUGGAAUAUGAAGCCUCCUGUUUCUACCCCUCCGGGAUCCCUGAAACCAAACCCAACAGCUCCCUCGCUUGGUGGAAACACGAAACUACGCCAAGUGUCAGCUGCUGCUUGUGUACUCUCUGUCUUCGUGUGCACAUACCUUCCAUCUGUCCACAAGUAUACUGCUGCACAUUUCUCCUCGCCCUUUCAUUUCAUUGUGUAAUACUCCAUUCAGGAUGCCAGAUUGGUCCUUCAAUGAAUUGUUAUUUUCUAGACACGCAGGCAGCUCCUCUGUCAUUGUAACUGCCAAAAGCGUGAAACAUUUAUUGGACUCAAGUCCCCACUAAGGAAUCCAACGCUAAUGCUUCUCCUUCACCUCCCCUCCUCUUCUUGUCUUCCGUCCUUGUUCUCCGUCUUCAUCAAAGCGAGGAGCCACCAGCUCUCUUUGCCUCUGGGAGACCCCACAUCGAGACGCACUUUCUGUCCCAGCCUCCUCUGAAGAUGCAACUGAGACGAAAACAUUAGAGUUCUUUAACAGCUCUGAUGUUUCAUGGCGGGGACCUAAAGACAGAGCUUUUUUUUCCUCAAUGACUUACGUGACUUUCUAUUUUAUAUAAAUAUACAUAUAUACUGUAUAUAAAACUUUAAAAACAUGCACACAGUGCUGUUUGUGCUAUUUUUCUUUCCCUGGCAAAGAACAGAUACAUUUUUACUGCUGUAGUAUGCUCAUGCAGACAGAUUCGGGAGUCAAUCACACACACUCCAGUUUGACUCUGUUACUAAAACAAUGCAACUAGGUUCAGUGUACUGUGCCAGUUGUUAAAACGUUUUUCCAAAUAUGGAAGCCUAGCCAAUUGCAUCAAGUCACUGACUUUGCAACGGUGCUUCCUCCUCAAUGCGGGCAGAGUUACAGGGGACAGUUGAUUGCAUGAAGUCAUAAAAUUUGCAGCAAUCCCUCAUGCUGAGCAUUGACGUGAAAACAAUGUACUCAAUGCAUUUUUGUAUCUGGGAACUGAAAACGUUAUGGAGGCGUUGGAGUGCAUCUGUGACCGCAACAAUUAACUCUGAUGUAUCAAGAAGAUUUAUGAUUACUAGGGACAAACUGGAACCUCUUAGAUAAACCAAACUAGUGCAGUUCUCCUGAACCCUGAAGCUUUCCAAGACAAUUCUGUGAUCGACUGAAUCCAAUGAAGUACUGAGAUCUAAUGGAACAAACGCAGGUACAGGUCUAUUAUGAGCUAUGAGGAUAUCAUUAGUGACUUUCAGGAGAGUUGCUUCAGUGCUAUGAUGAGCUCUGAAACUUGACCAAAACUCUUGAAACAGUUCAUUACCAUGGAAAUACUCACACAUUUGAUUAGCAACUUUCCUUUUUAAGAUUUUGAAUGAGAAAGGAAGACUGAAUCAAGUACUGUAAUUUGUUACUGCAAAUUCUAGACAAACCUAGUCUUGUCUGAGUAAAUUUAUUCAGUGUUGGAAUUAUCCUGGAUUAAGAAAUAAAUAAUAAUAAAAAUAUAAAAUACUUAUAGCAAAAAUAAUUAGAACCCUGAAUGUGUUGUGCAAAUCUUCUUUUCAUCUCUACAUGGGUCAGAACUUAUUUUGUGCUUUGGGUCAUAUCAAGACCAUGAAUGUCCUCUAAGGGUUGGUUGUGGCAAAAUGUAAUGAACCCAUAAACAAAUAGUUGAAAUAUUAAAUAAACUGCUCUCUCUGGAUACUUCUUAAGGUUAAAUAACAUUGAACAUUGCUUUAAUUUGGCACUAUAUAGAAAAAAAAUCUGCUU
This is a long non-coding RNA of Poecilia latipinna (sailfin molly), 2455 nucleotides long. RefSeq lists it as uncharacterized. The record is from RefSeq and is a predicted model, not a curated record. NCBI's taxonomy places the organism in Eukaryota, Metazoa, Chordata, Actinopteri, Cyprinodontiformes, Poeciliidae. The transcript is spliced from 3 exons.